GACGAACGCUGGCGGCGUGCUUAACACAUGCAAGUCGAACGGAGAGGCCCUGCUUUUGUGGGGUGCUCGAGUGGCGAACGGGUGAGUAACACGUGAGUAACCUGCCCUUGACUUUGGGAUAACUUCAGGAAACUGGGGCUAAUACCGGAUAGGAGCUCCUGCUGCAUGGUGGGGGUUGGAAAGUUUCGGCGGGUGGGGAUGGACUCGCGGCUUAUCAGCUUGUUGGUGGGGUAGUGGCUUACCAAGGCUUUGACGGGUAGCCGGCCUGAGAGGGUGACCGGCCACAUGGGGACUGAGAUACGGCGCAGACUCCUACGGGAGGCAGCAGUGGGGAAUAUUGCACAAUGGGCGGAAGCCUGAUGCAGCAACGCCGCGUGCGGGAUGACGGCCUUCGGGUUGUAAACCGCUUUCGCCUGUGACGAAGCGUGAGUGACGGUAAUGGGUAAAGAAGCACCGGCUAACUACGUG
This 468-nucleotide ribosomal RNA is filed under the name uncultured bacterium. RNAcentral's name for it is "partial 16S ribosomal RNA". It matches the Rfam family "Bacterial small subunit ribosomal RNA", at positions 28 to 507 of the family's 1533-position model. The record is from RNAcentral.